GCUAAAUUGUGACAUCACAGUGCUCCAAUGUGACAUCACAGUGUUCCAUUGUGCCAUCACAGUGCUACAUUGUGUCAUCAGAGUGAUCCAUUUUGAUAUCAAAGU
Molecule: microRNA precursor, 105 nt
Filed under: Microtus ochrogaster (prairie vole)
Lineage: Eukaryota; Metazoa; Chordata; Mammalia; Rodentia; Cricetidae
Description: miRNA (ENSMOCG00000009458.1)
Source: RNAcentral